This 362-nucleotide long non-coding RNA is filed under the name Vigna radiata. Its description in RNAcentral is "long non-coding RNA (VRAD_LNC002746)". The record is from RNAcentral. Lineage: Eukaryota; Viridiplantae; Streptophyta; Magnoliopsida; Fabales; Fabaceae.
GGACGACGUGGAUAAAGGGAAAUCGAGAAAACUAGAUUUGAACUUAAAGUCCAUAUAUGGCCAUUACAUGUAACUAAAGAGAUGGUGACGGCGACGGUGGAAACGGCACGACUGACGCUGGAAGAGACGCGAAUAUGAUCGGUGGGAAGAGACGCGAAGGUGAUUGGUGGGAAGAGACACGAAGAUGAUCGACGGCGCUGACUCUGGGUGGACCUCCGAUGGCCGUUCAACGGCGAACGACGGUGGAGUCGUGAAGGGGCUUUGGUCGUUGGGAGGGAGAGUUUCUCUCUCUAGGUUUCAUUCUCGCAAUCUGAAAAUGAAUUUGAAUUUGGGAAAUUGUUUGCUUUCAUUUUCUGCCCGUG